GACGAACGCUGGCGGCGUGCUUAACACAUGCAAGUCGAACGGAAAGGCCCUUCGGGGUACUCGAGUGGCGAACGGGUGAGUAACACGUGGGUGAUCUGCCCUGCACUUUGGGAUAAGCCUGGGAAACUGGGUCUAAUACCGAAUAGGACCACGCGCUUCAUGGUGUGUGGUGGAAAGCUUUUGCGGUGUGGGAUGGGCCCGCGGUCUAUCAGCUUGUUGGUGGGGUAAUGGCCUACCAAGGCGACGACGGGUAGCCGGCCUGAGAGGGUGACCGGCCACACUGGGACUGAGAUACGGCCCAGACUCCUACGGGAGGCAGCAGUGGGGAAUAUUGCACAAUGGGCGCAAGCCUGAUGCAGCGACGCCGCGUGAGGGAUGACGGCCUUCGGGUUGUAAACCUCUUUCAAUAGGGACGAAGCGCAAGUGACGGUACCUAUAGAAGAAGCACCGGCCAACUACGUG
This 462-nucleotide ribosomal RNA is filed under the name uncultured bacterium. Its description in RNAcentral is "partial 16S ribosomal RNA". It matches the Rfam family "Bacterial small subunit ribosomal RNA", at positions 28 to 507 of the family's 1533-position model. The record is from RNAcentral.